Long non-coding RNA from Prunus dulcis (almond), 114 nucleotides. RefSeq lists it as uncharacterized. The record is from RefSeq and is a predicted model, not a curated record. NCBI's taxonomy places the organism in Eukaryota, Viridiplantae, Streptophyta, Magnoliopsida, Rosales, Rosaceae. The transcript is spliced from 2 exons.
CAGGUGAAGAGCUUUCAAAAAAGCAGGCUGCUCAAGAAGGACAGAUUAGGAAAUUAAGGGCUCAGAUCAGAGAGUUUGAAGAAGAGAAGAAAGGGUUGAUUACUAAACUUCAGG